RNAcentral lists this long non-coding RNA (357 nucleotides) under Sorghum bicolor (sorghum). Its description in RNAcentral is "long non-coding RNA (SBIC_LNC016844)". The record is from RNAcentral. Lineage: Eukaryota; Viridiplantae; Streptophyta; Magnoliopsida; Poales; Poaceae.
UAUUGCCUGUGUCUAAGCCAGUUCUUCUUUCCCCAGUAGUUAAGAAUAAUUUUUUUUCUAAAAAACUCUUCUUCCCCUGCGAAAAUCUCUUCUUUCCACGGCCUUUUUGGCACUCGGGUCCAGUGGAGCGGGCAAUAAGCAGCGCUGGGGCUACUCCUUCCCCUUAGCACUAUCUUUCCUCAUGUUUUUGAUGCACACUUCUUGCUUCUUCCUCAGAUCCGGCGAAGUGGAGCCUUGCUUCUUACUCAGAUCCGGCGAAGUGGAGCACUGUCGCCCACGUCCGACUAAGGCGCUCUGCUCCGCCAGCGCCCAUCCACUGGCGAGCUCAAUCUAGAAUUUGUAUUGAUUUUGUUUCAA